AUGCCGUUCUCAAGUUCGGCUUCCCUCCAAUCCUUCGCGCCACAAGAUGACGGAGCACACCAGGAAAUUCCGAUCGAAGAUGCGGCAGCGGCCUCACCGCCGAUGACGGACGCCGCUGCGGUCGGCGUGGACACGGCGGACGACGUCGACGGCCGGAGGCUCAGGCGGAAGAUCUCCAACCGGGAGUCGGCGCGCCGGUCGCGCGCGCGCAAGCAGCGCCGCCUCGAGGACCUCCGCGCCCUCGCGGCAAGCCUGCGGGGCGGCCGCCGCGAGCUCGUGGCGCGUGUGCACGCCGCGCGGUGCCGCGUCGCCAUCGUCCUCCACGCCAACGACGAGCUCCGGGCCGAGGCCGCCGCCCUGAGCCGCCGCCUCGAGGUGGCGGCUCAUGGCGCGCUCGCCCUCAACCAGCUGUACGCCGCGGCCGCCGGGCUUGGUGUCGGGACGUUCGAGCAGGCCGCUGCCUCGCUGAUCGUGUGGAGCUGA
Molecule: ribosomal RNA, 483 nt
Filed under: Triticum aestivum (bread wheat)
Lineage: Eukaryota; Viridiplantae; Streptophyta; Magnoliopsida; Poales; Poaceae
Description: partial small subunit ribosomal RNA
Source: RNAcentral